UAAUACGAAGGGGGCUAGCGUUGCUCGGAAUCACUGGGCGUAAAGCGCACGUAGGCGGCUUUCUAAGUCAGAGGUGAAAUCCUGGAGCUCAACUCCAGAACUGCCUUUGAUACUGGAGAGCUUGAGUUCGGGCGAGGUGAGUGGAACUGCGAGUGUAGAGGUGAAAUUCGUAGAUAUUCGCAAGAACACCAGUGGCGAAGGCGGCUCACUGGCCCGAUA
RNAcentral lists this ribosomal RNA (219 nucleotides) under uncultured bacterium. RNAcentral describes it as "partial 16S ribosomal RNA". It matches the Rfam family "Bacterial small subunit ribosomal RNA", at positions 521 to 739 of the family's 1533-position model. The record is from RNAcentral.